UACCAGGGUUUCGAGGUCCGAAGCACAUUUGUGCCUGCACAAAAAUGUGCUUCGGACUUUGAAACCCGCCAGAAUAUGAGGAAGAAGCGGGGGAGGGGCCCCGCGAAUUCCGAAUAUUCUGUAGAACUGCGGGAGCACGGACGUGCGGAGCAGUUCGAGGUA
This 162-nucleotide small RNA is filed under the name uncultured Bariatricus sp. Its description in RNAcentral is "Clostridiales-1 RNA". It matches the Rfam family "Clostridiales-1 RNA". The record is from RNAcentral. Lineage: Bacteria; Bacillati; Bacillota; Clostridia; Lachnospirales; Lachnospiraceae.